GUAAACUUUUUGUUGCACAAAUGACAUACGCUACAUGCUCGCGUUGAAAAGGACAGUUCACAGUGUUGGAGAUGAUGCCGAGCGGAGGUAGCCGCUGACAGACUCGAUAAUGAUCCUUCCGCAGGUUCACCUACGGAAA
RNAcentral lists this unclassified non-coding RNA (139 nucleotides) under uncultured fungus. Its description in RNAcentral is "sequence contains ITS1". The record is from RNAcentral. Lineage: Eukaryota; Fungi.